AGAAUCAACGCUGGCGGCGCGCUUAACACAUGCAAGUCGAACGAGAAAGGGGAGCAAUCUCUGAGUACAGUGGCGUACGGGUGAGUAACACGUGGAUGAUCUACCUCUUAGUGGGGGAUAUCUCUGGGAAACUAGAGUUAAUACCGCAUAAGCUCGAGAGAGGAAACCCUGUAAGGGGGCUGAGAGAGGAGUCCGCGGCCGAUUAGCUAGUUGGUAGGGUAAAAGCCUACCAAGGCGUAGAUCGGUA
RNAcentral lists this ribosomal RNA (247 nucleotides) under uncultured bacterium. Its description in RNAcentral is "partial small subunit ribosomal RNA". It matches the Rfam family "Bacterial small subunit ribosomal RNA", at positions 26 to 285 of the family's 1533-position model. The record is from RNAcentral.